Molecule: ribosomal RNA, 662 nt
Filed under: uncultured Hydrogenedentota bacterium
Lineage: Bacteria; Pseudomonadati; Candidatus Hydrogenedentota
Description: bacterial SSU rRNA
Rfam family: Bacterial small subunit ribosomal RNA
Source: RNAcentral
GUGUGGGAGUAUCGACCCUUCCGUGCCGCAGUAACGCAUUAAGUGCACCGCCUGGGGAGUACGAUCGCAAGAUUGAGACUCAAAGGAAUUGACGGGGGCCCGCACAAGCGGUGGAGCAUGUGGUUUAAUUCGAGGCAACGCGAAGAACCUUACCCAGCCUUGACAUCCCGUGACCGCCAUGGAAACAUGGUUUUCUCUUCGGAGACGCGGUGACAGGUGUUGCAUGGCUGUCGUCAGCUCGUGUCGUGAGAUGUUGGGUUAAGUCCCGCAACGAGUGCAACCCCUAUCCUUGGUUACCAGCGGAUAAUGCCGGGCACUCUAGGGAGACUGCCGGUGACAAACCGGAGGAAGGUGGGGACGAGGUCAAGUCAUCAUGGCCCUUAUGGCUGGGGCUACACACGUGCUACAAUGGCCGGUACAAAGGGUUGCGAACCCGCGAGGGUAAGCCAAUCUCAAAAAGCCGGUCUCAGUUCGGAUUGGAGUCUGCAACUCGACUCCAUGAAGUUGGAAUCGCUAGUAAUCGCGUAUCAGCUACGACGCGGUGAAUACGUUCCCGGGCCUUGUACACACCGCCCGUCACAUGACCCGAGUCGGGUGCACCCGAAGUCGCUGGCCCAACCCGCAAGGGAGGGAGGCGCCGAAGGUGUGCUUGGUAAGGGGGU